AUUCCUGCCUACCCAGUGAAAAGGGAUGUAAAUGAGCCUUCUUUAUUAAGGGAUACAAUUUGAGGAGUAGUAAUGGUUAAAUAUAAAGCCAAUUGUGAUAUAGUCAAGAUUAUGAUGAAUGAACAGUGGACGUACAAAGUGACAUGGUGGCUCGGAAGGAAAUUCCACUUUCUGAAGAGAAUGGGAUAGAGGUCUUUUAAAAGGAGGGAGCUUUUAGGGGAGUCAUGACAGAUGAGUGAUAUUUGAAAAGGAAGAAACACGUAGGUUGAGCAUUACAGGUAUGGGAAUGAGAGCCAACUAGAAAUGCAGACUGAGUAAUAGUAACACUCUUUUGAGAUUUAUUCCAGAAAUGAAGAAAGGUACCUGGGCAUAAGCAGCUCAUGAGAUGCACUUCUCAGGCAAUAUGCCAUGAUUUAAUCGACUUUGGAAGGUGGUCCACUGAGGUUUGAAUACAUACAAAUAUGAAAGAAUUAAAGUGAUUUAAAUGCUCAUUACUACUAUGCAGAACUGAGGAAAUGUAACCUCCAGGUAGUCUUAGAGCAUUAUACUGUGAAUGCAGGAAAUGUUUAGGCAUCUGGUCUCAAAUACAGGACUUUCUCCUGUAUAAAUUAAAUACAUUAAUGGCAGAAAGUUAUGGAAAAAUUAUUUUCUUCAAUGGCAGAACACAAAGGAAGUAAAGGUACUUUUAUUAACUGCAUUGUACAAAUGCGGAAACUGAAGCUCCAAGGAAUUGAUAACUCGCCCGAAGUCAUACAACUAAUCAGAUUCUACAGGAGUCAUCAAACUCUGGCAGUCCGGCCCCAGAUCCUGAGGCUUCUUUCAAUGUACUUCCAAAGACCAAAAAAAGAUGCGUACAUCCAACUCGGAAUGUAACACGGUUGUUCAGUAAGAAGUAAAGUGGAAGGAACAUUGUUACUCAAAUAAUGAAAAUGAGAAGAAUACCUGUCCUAUUUACUUUAAGCGAUUUGACUGUUGAAAACAUAUUCGAAAUAAUAAAUUCAAAUAAAAUUAAAGAUGACAUGAAAAUAUAUAAGCUAUGGAAUGGAUUAAAUGCAAAUGACAAGCAUGUAUGUACAAAGGUGCAUAUGUAUAUGCCAUCAAGUAAGAAUACAUAAAUUGUAAAGAGUAGAAGAUUUUAAACUUUGUUUUUCAAAUGAUAACCUGCAAUAGUUGAACUUUAUAUUUGACUUAGAAAUUAUAUAAUUAAGCAUUGAUUUACUGUGCACCUAACUUCAUAGCCUUCACUUUACAUUGGUCAGCAUGUAUUAUAAGUGUCAAAUGAUGGCUGCUUAUAAAUGUUGUAGCUAUACUUUAUAAACUAACUGGCCAAGAGAUAAUUGAUUUUAUUUUUCUCAGCAUUAUAAAUCAUACAUCAGUUUAGGUGUUUCUAUUAGAUAUGAUACCAGUUUGGUCCCAGCUUUUUAAAAGAAUAAUAACAUGGGCAGCCGUAGUGUAGUAGAAAUCAUUUUUAACACUAUAUGCAAAGAAGUAAAUGCAAUAUGUUUUUUACAAUGGCAGACAGACAAUUUUUGCAGGAAAAAAAGCCUGGAAGAAAUAUAACAUGUUCUGUAAUUUAGCAACAAUUAUCAAUAUGAUAGGUUGAAAAUCAUGAUAUUGCUUACCUAUAAAAUGUAU
Molecule: long non-coding RNA, 1635 nt
Organism: Lagenorhynchus albirostris (white-beaked dolphin)
Lineage: Eukaryota; Metazoa; Chordata; Mammalia; Artiodactyla; Delphinidae
Exons: 5
Source: RefSeq, a predicted model, not a curated record